RNAcentral lists this ribosomal RNA (445 nucleotides) under uncultured bacterium. Its description in RNAcentral is "partial 16S ribosomal RNA". It matches the Rfam family "Bacterial small subunit ribosomal RNA", at positions 354 to 796 of the family's 1533-position model. The record is from RNAcentral.
GUGAGGAAUAUUGGUCAAUGGACGAGAGUCUGAACCAGCCAAGUCGCGUGAAGGAAGACGGUUCUAUGAAUUGUAAACUUCUUUUGUGCAGGAAUAAAGUGGGUUACGUGUAACCUUUUGUAUGUACUGUACGAAUAAGGAUCGGCUAACUCCGUGCCAGCAGCCGCGGUAAUACGGAGGAUCCGAGCGUUAUCCGGAUUUAUUGGGUUUAAAGGGUGCGUAUGUGGAUUGAUAAGUCAGCGGUGAAAGUUUGCAGCUUAACUGUAAAAUUGCCGUUGAAACUGUCGGUCUUGAGUGCAAAUGAGGUAGGCGGAAUGUGUUGUGUAGCGGUGAAAUGCUUAGAUAUCACACAGAACACCGAUUGCGUAGGCAGCUUACUGGAGCGCAACUGACGCUGAGGCACGAAAGCGUGGGGAUCGAACAGGAUUAGAAACCCUUGUAGUCC